Molecule: long non-coding RNA, 566 nt
Organism: Lucilia sericata (common green bottle fly)
Lineage: Eukaryota; Metazoa; Arthropoda; Insecta; Diptera; Calliphoridae
Exons: 3
Source: RefSeq, a predicted model, not a curated record
UUAGUUUAUCAUGCACAAAACUAAAACUAAUCAGGGUUUGUAAUGAAAUCUAAACAAAGUUAAGUUAUAUUUUGUUUGACUGUUGAGACCAGAAACGUGUUGGUCUUCAUAAAGCUAUAUAUGUAUAUUUACGUUCGCGACAAUCUAAAAUGGCCCAAACUAAUAACGGCAAACAGCCGAGGACCAUACAGGAGCCCAUACAAUAAAAUACAAUAGCAUAACUGCCUGACAAAUCUCUUAGGAAUCCCGCUAAAGGUGGCACUGAUAUGGCACCAAUACUUUGAAACAUGCGCACUAAACCAUAACUGGAACUUAUGCGAUCGGUGCCGAAGAUAUCCGCCAACAAAACUGGCAUCAAAACAUACCAGCUGCCUAAACAGAAACCAUAAAUGGCAGCCGAUAGACCCACCAGAUAAAUGGUGUAUUCCGAUGGUAUGUUACAACUAUUUAAUGGAAAGUUUUACAACGGCAAUGUAGAACCUCGCGUUCAAAAGGUCGAACUCUUGAAGGUAAUGUUUUAAAUACACGGAAGUUUUCCAGUUUCUCCUACCAAGCGAGCGUCCCAC